GUACAUGUAGUAAAGACCUGUGUAAUGCUAGUCCAGAAUUGGAUAUAUCAAGAAUAUUAUUCCUUCUCUCUAUCCUUCUCUCACUCCGCUGGACCCUACUCCGUCCUUCAUGACAAUAAAUGAAGGAUUACUAGUUUAUCCAGUGUAUACCGAACCAAUAAGCUGCCACAGUUGACCGGCCCAGCGUAUACCGAGCCAAUAGGCUGCUACACUUUACCGGCCCAGUGUAUACCGGACCAGGCUGCUACAGUUGACCGGCCCAGUGUAUACCGAACCAAAAGACUGCUACAGUUGACCGGCUCAGUGUAUACUGAACCAGGCUGCUACAGUUGACCGGCCCAGUGUAUACCGAACCAGGUUGCUGCAGUUGACCGGCCCAGUGUAUACCAAACAAGGCUGCUACAGUAGAUCGGCCCAGUGUAUACCGAACCAAUAGGCUGCUACAGUUGACCGGCCCAGUGUAUACUAAACCAGGUUGCUACAGUUGACCGGCCCAGUGCUUACCAAACAAGGCUGCUACUGUUGACCGGCCCAGUGUUUGCCGAACAAGGCUGCUACAGUUGACCGGCCCAGUGUAUAAUAAACCAGGUUGCUACAGUUGACCGGCCCAGUGUAUACCGAACCAGGUUGCUACAGUUGACUGGCCCAGUGUAUACCGAACAAGGCUGCUACAGUUGGCCGGCUAAAGGAACAUAUAUACUAUAAAAGAGACAUUAUCAUGAACCAGUCAUGAGUGACUUUUACAGUGAUAAAAUAAGGACUUGCUAACUUAGAGACUUAAAUAUUGUUAUAAAACCCUGGCUCAACUUUUUCAGCCCCAGAGAUCCUGUUUACGGACCAGAAUAAGAAAAUAAAGAAAAUGCACCCUGUAGAUAUGCCAGUUAUAUGUGAUGUGAUUAUAAAGUUGUUAACAACCAAAAUCAGCCAUUUUGUUUUGGAAAAACACUGUUCUCAAUGAGGUCGUUGAUUUUGAAGAAAAAUGUUAAUAACAUUAAGUUAUUGUGAAGUAAUAUUAGGUCUUAAUUUGAAAAUGUAAAAAUUUUUAGAACAGAACCACAAAUCUGGAAAGAAAAGCACUCACCAAUUAAUGAAAUUUAAUAUAUUUUCACAAAAAUUGGA
Eurytemora carolleeae is the source of this 1119-nucleotide long non-coding RNA. RefSeq lists it as uncharacterized. Lineage: Eukaryota; Metazoa; Arthropoda; Copepoda; Calanoida; Temoridae. The transcript has 2 exons. The record is from RefSeq and is a predicted model, not a curated record.